CAUGAAAUUUGAUUGAAUUGUGGGAAUGAUGAAAAUGUUGAUGUUAAACCCAUGAAAUUUGAUUGAAUUGUGGGAAUGAUGAAAAUGAUGAUGUUAAACCCAGGAAAUUUGAUUGAAUUGUGGGAAUGAUGAAAAUGUUGAUGUUAAACCCAUGAAAUUUGAUUGAAUUGUGGGAAUUAUAGAAAUGAUGAUGUUAAACCCAUGAAAUUUG
Molecule: long non-coding RNA, 211 nt
Filed under: Lathyrus oleraceus (garden pea)
Lineage: Eukaryota; Viridiplantae; Streptophyta; Magnoliopsida; Fabales; Fabaceae
Description: Pisum sativum (pea) long non-coding RNA (PSAT_LNC040818)
Source: RNAcentral